This 253-nucleotide ribosomal RNA is filed under the name uncultured bacterium. RNAcentral describes it as "partial 16S ribosomal RNA". It matches the Rfam family "Bacterial small subunit ribosomal RNA", at positions 524 to 776 of the family's 1533-position model. The record is from RNAcentral.
UACGUAGGGGGCAAGCGUUAUCCGGAUUUACUGGGUGUAAAGGGAGCGUAGACGGCAGCGCAAGUCUGGAGUGAAAUGCCGGGGCCCAACCCCGGAACUGCUUUGGAAACUGUGCGGCUCGAGUGCGGGAGAGGUAGGCGGAAUUCCUAGUGUAGCGGUGAAAUGCGUAGAUAUUAGGAGGAACACCAGUGGCGAAGGCGGCUUACUGGACCGAAACUGACGUUGAGGCUCGAAAGCGUGGGGAGCAAACAGG